UACAGAGGUCCCGAGCGUUGUUCGGAUUCAUUGGGCGUAAAGGGUGCGUAGGCGGCGGGGCAAGUCUGAUGUGAAAUCCCGGGGCUCAACCCCGGAACUGCAUUGGAUACUGCCUUGCUCGAGUACUGGAGAGGGAACUGGAAUUUACGGUGUAGCAGUGAAAUGCGUAGAGAUCGUAAGGAAGGCCAGUGGCGAAGGCGAGUUUCUGGACGGUAACUGACGCUGAGGCACGAAGGCCAGGGGAGCAAACGGG
RNAcentral lists this ribosomal RNA (253 nucleotides) under uncultured bacterium. RNAcentral describes it as "partial 16S ribosomal RNA". It matches the Rfam family "Bacterial small subunit ribosomal RNA", at positions 524 to 776 of the family's 1533-position model. The record is from RNAcentral.